GGUUAAGCGACUAAGCGUACACGGUGGAUGCCCUGGCAGUCAGAGGCGAUGAAGGACGUGCUAAUCUGCGAUAAGCGUCGGUAAGGUGAUAUGAACCGUUAUAACCGGCGAUUUCCGAAUGGGGAAACCCAGUGUGAUCCGUCACACUAUCAUUACGUGAAUACAUAGCGUAAUGAAGCGAACCGGGGGAACUGAAACAUCUCAGUACCCCGAGGAAAAGAAAUCAACCGAGAUUCCCCCAGUAGCGGCGAGCGAACGGGGAGCAGCCCAGAGUCUGAAUCAGCAUGUGUGUUAGUGGAAGCGUCUGGAAAGUCGCACGAUACAGGGUGAAAGUCCCGUACACAAAAGUGCAUGUGUUGUGAACUCGAAGAGUAGGGCGGGACACGUGGUAUCCUGUCUGAAUAUGGGGGGACCAUCCUCCAAGGCUAAAUACUCCUGACUGACCGAUAGUGAACCAGUACCGUGAGGGAAAGGCGAAAAGAACCCCGGCGAGGGGAGUGAAAAAGAACCUGAAACCGUGUACGUACAAGCAGUGGGAGCACCCUUCGGGGUGUGACUGCGUACCUUUUGUAUAAUGGGUCAGCGACUUAUAUUCUGUAGCAAGGUUAACCGAAUAGGGGAGCCGAAGGGAAACCGAGUCUUAACUGGGCGUUAAGUUGCAGGGUAUAGACCCGAAACCCGGUGAUCUAGCCAUGGGCAGGUUGAAGGUUGGGUAACACUAACUGGAGGACCGAACCGACUAAUGUUGAAAAAUUAGCGGAUGACUUGUGGCUGGGGGUGAAAGGCCAAUCAAACCGGGAGAUAGCUGGUUCUCCCCGAAAGCUAUUUAGGUAGCGCCUCGUGAAUUCAUCUUCGGGGGUAGAGCACUGUUUCGGCUAGGGGGUCAUCCCGACUUACCAACCCGAUGCAAACUGCGAAUACCGAAGAAUGUUAUCACGGGAGACACACGGCGGGUGCUAACGUCCGUCGUGAAGAGGGAAACAACCCAGACCGCCAGCUAAGGUCCCAAAGUCAUGGUUAAGUGGGAAACGAUGUGGGAAGGCACAGACAGCCAGGAUGUUGGCUUAGAAGCAGCCAUCAUUUAAAGAAAGCGUAAUAGCUCACUGGUCGAGUCGGCCUGCGCGGAAGAUGUAACGGGGCUAAACCAUGCACCGAAGCUGCGGCAGCGACACUAUGUGUUGUUGGGUAGGGGAGCGUUCUGUAAGCCGUUGAAGGUGUACUGUGAGGUAUGCUGGAGGUAUCAGAAGUGCGAAUGCUGACAUAAGUAACGAUAAUGCGGGUGAAAAACCCGCACGCCGGAAGACCAAGGGUUCCUGUCCAACGUUAAUCGGGGCAGGGUGAGUCGACCCCUAAGGCGAGGCCGAAAGGCGUAGUCGAUGGGAAACAGGUUAAUAUUCCUGUACUUGGUGUUACUGCGAAGGGGGGACGGAGAAGGCUAUGUUAGCCGGGCGACGGUUGUCCCGGUUUAAGCAUGUAGGCGGAGGUUCCAGGUAAAUCCGGUACCUUAUUAACGCUGAGGUGUGAUGACGAGGCACUACGGUGCUGAAGUAACAAAUGCCCUGCUUCCAGGAAAAGCCUCUAAGCAUCAGGUAACACGAAAUCGUACCCCAAACCGACACAGGUGGUCAGGUAGAGAAUACCAAGGCGCUUGAGAGAACUCGGGUGAAGGAACUAGGCAAAAUGGUGCCGUAACUUCGGGAGAAGGCACGCUGAUAUGUAGGUGAAGUGGUUUACCCAUGGAGCUGAAAUCAGUCGAAGAUACCAGCUGGCUGCAACUGUUUAUUAAAAACACAGCACUGUGCAAACACGAAAGUGGACGUAUACGGUGUGACGCCUGCCCGGUGCCGGAAGGUUAAUUGAUGGGGUUAUCCGUAAGGAGAAGCUCUUGAUCGAAGCCCCGGUAAACGGCGGCCGUAACUAUAACGGUCCUAAGGUAGCGAAAUUCCUUGUCGGGUAAGUUCCGACCUGCACGAAUGGCGUAAUGAUGGCCAGGCUGUCUCCACCCGAGACUCAGUGAAAUUGAACUCGCUGUGAAGAUGCAGUGUACCCGCGGCAAGACGGAAAGACCCCGUGAACCUUUACUAUAGCUUGACACUGAACACUGGUCCUUGAUGUGUAGGAUAGGUGGGAGGCUUUGAAGUGUGGACGCCAGUCUGCAUGGAGCCAUCCUUGAAAUACCACCCUUUAAUGGCUGGUGUUCUAACGUAGACCCGUUACCCGGGUUGCGGACAGUGUCUGGUGGGUAGUUUGACUGGGGCGGUCUCCUCCU
RNAcentral lists this ribosomal RNA (2269 nucleotides) under Citrobacter portucalensis. Its description in RNAcentral is "partial 23S ribosomal RNA". It matches the Rfam family "Bacterial large subunit ribosomal RNA", at positions 1 to 2291 of the family's 2925-position model. The record is from RNAcentral. Lineage: Bacteria; Pseudomonadati; Pseudomonadota; Gammaproteobacteria; Enterobacterales; Enterobacteriaceae.